AUACGUAGGUGACAAGCGUUAUCCGGAUUUACUGGGCGUAAAGGGCGUGUAGGCGGUCUUGCAAGUCAGAAGUGAAAUUCCUGAGCUCAACUCGGGCGCUGCUUCUGAAACUGCAGGACUUGAGUGCUGGAGGGGAUAGCGGAAUUCCUAGUGGAGCGGUAAAAUGCGCAGAUAUUAGGAAGAACACCGGUGGCGAAGGCGGCUAUCUGGACAGUAACGGACGCUGAGGCGCGAAAGCGUGGGGAGCAAACAGGAUUAGAUACCCCGGUAGUCCUGGCAGUAAACGAUGUAUGCUGGGUGUGAGACUAGCGAUAGUUUCGUGCCGAAGUUAACGCGAUAAGCAUACCGCCUGGGGAGUACGGUCGCAAGAUUGAAACUCAAAUGAAUUGACGGGG
This 395-nucleotide ribosomal RNA is filed under the name uncultured bacterium. Its description in RNAcentral is "partial 16S ribosomal RNA". It matches the Rfam family "Bacterial small subunit ribosomal RNA", at positions 523 to 918 of the family's 1533-position model. The record is from RNAcentral.